UACGGAGGGUGCAAACGUUGCUCGGAAUCAUUGGGCGUAAAGCGCACGUAGGCGGUGCGGUAAGUUGGAUGUGAAAGCCCUCGGCUUAACCGAGGAAGUGCAUUCAAAACUGCCGGACUUGAAUACUGGAGAGGAUCGCGGAAUUCCCGGUGUAGAGGUGAAAUUCGUAGAUAUCGGGAGGAACACCAGUGGCGAAGGCGGCGAUCUGGACAGAUAUUGACGCUGAGGUGCGAAAGCGUGGGGAGCAAACAGG
Molecule: ribosomal RNA, 253 nt
Filed under: uncultured bacterium
Lineage: Bacteria
Description: partial 16S ribosomal RNA
Rfam family: Bacterial small subunit ribosomal RNA
Source: RNAcentral